Carassius gibelio (silver crucian carp) is the source of this 2182-nucleotide long non-coding RNA. RefSeq lists it as uncharacterized. The transcript has 3 exons. NCBI's taxonomy places the organism in Eukaryota, Metazoa, Chordata, Actinopteri, Cypriniformes, Cyprinidae. The record is from RefSeq and is a predicted model, not a curated record.
CCAGGGGAACACACACUUCUAUUUAAUAACUAAAUCCUUAUAAAGGCAGUGAUAAAUGCACAUUGGUUUCUUUUUAUUUCCUAUUUGGAUAAAUAUUGUGUGAGGCACGUUUUAAUAUGGAUGGAUGCACUUUAUUGCACUUUUUUUCGGACUGUUUAAAAACACCUGCCCACUGCCAUGAUAAAGCUUAGAAGACCCAGGACAAUUUUAUAUAAUUCCGACUGGUCUGAAAGAAGUCAUAUACACCUAGGGUGAGUAAAGCAUAUUUUUUUGACAAAUUAACCCUUGAAGAUUUGAGAUUUGAAUGCGUCUUAAAGCGCCCCCUUGAGGACGACAUUUAAGAUUCAUAAGGUGUACAGUAGUUGGAGACACUUCUCUAACUGUGAAACAACAAAGAACAGAGUAGGCAAACCCGUUCAAUCAUGGCACAACAGUCAAGAUGUACAGACGACAACACCCAUUAAAACAGAAGCAAUUGUGUGUGGACUCUGUGAUCGGUUUGAAUCCAUCCAGAUGUAAUAAAUACAGACUGUUUCAUGGAAAUAAGCUUGUGAACAAAGCGGAUGUUGGAGGAAUUUGUUAACAAACUUCAGGAUACGACUCUAGCCAUCUGCGGCUCUUGUGAAACGAUGUUAAUGAGGUACGAUCUCGUGUCCAAAGACGCAGGACGAAUUUAAAUGCACAUGCAGGAUAUGCGGAAGAAGACCAGGGAGAAACGGUGUGCUCCUUCAGUUCUCACACUAGAGGGGAAGAGAAGACGAGAAGUGAUGGACAAAGCAGCUAAUGACGCUGAUAAAAACACUAGAUCCAGCUUACUACAGUUCACUGACAGCGCUGCAGCGAAGGGUAAACUCAAAACUGCAUCAAAACAUUUACAGGAGAAACUAAGAGCAUCUGAGGAGUUUCAACAGACUUUGCAUAAUACAGCAAAACAUAUGAAGGUCAGAAUUCAACUGUUACUCCAGUAAAGUGAAAAUGUUUAUAUAUCUAUUCAACUUAUUUUUUUAACCCUUCAUUAAAAAGCCAUUUCCUGUGAAUUUUGUAACAUUGUAUAUUUUUUUAAUGGGGAAAUCAUUCUGACUGUGCUCAGUAAUUAGCAAAAACAUAGACUUACAAACCAACAAAAAAAUGACAUGGCAUUUUGACAUUACACACCUUGACAAAAAAGUGAUAAAAUUGUGGAUCGAGACCCUACAUGAAAAAAAAAUCGAUAUGAUAUUUUAGCCAUAUUGCCAACUCCUAAAUUUAAGUUUUAUUUGCCCCUCUAACUAAUGUGUUUAUGAUUAUGAUAAUAAAUUAAUAUCAUAUAAAAUAGUUUGAAUGAUAAACUGCUUUUGAACAGCUAAAAAAGCUGGAAGUGCUCAUUAAAGUUAAAAAUGGUUGCACUUUGAAAAGGUUUGUAUGGUUUCUCCUCUUAUGAACUCUAACCCUAAUCACUGACUACUGAGUGUUUUUCCAGAGUGUCUCAGUGUAAAGUGCCAGAUCCAGAGGACAUUUCUGGAGUUCUGAUCAAUGUGCCAAAACACCUGAGCAACCUGAAGUUUACUGUGAUGCAGAAGAUGCUGAAAACUGUUGAUUACACUCCUGUGACCUUUGACCCUAACACUGCUCACUGUAAUAUCAUCCUGUCUGAGGAUCUGACCAGUGGGAGAUACAGUGAUGAGGAACAGACUCCUGAGAAUCCAGAGCGAUUCGACAUGUCCGCAUGUGUUGUGUGCUCACAGGGCUUUGACUCUGGCUCUCACUGCUGGGAUGUUGAAGUUGAAACACAGGCUGGUUCCUCAGAGUGAUGACCGAAUCUGCUCAGAGGAGGAAUAAAAUAUUCUCAAGGAGAGGAAUCUGGCUGGUGGGUCAUUUCUGUGGAGAAUAUAAAGCACAUGAACCACCACAAUCACUAGCUCUCCUCCCAGUGAAAGAGAAACUGCAGAGGGUCAGAGUUCAGCUGGACUGGGACAGUGGAAAGCUGUCGUUCUCUGACCCUCUUACUGACACUCGUAUGCACUCUUUUACACACAUGUUCACUGUAAGUUUAUUUCCAUCCUUCAGUGUUGGCUGUGACAUUUCUCAUCUUCAUAUCUUACCUGUAAAUUCCACAGUAAAAAAAAAAAAAAAAAAAAGAUUUGCUCUAAAUCGUUAUUAAUCUUGACCUAAAAUAUGUCUUCAUUUAAUAAUCUUUGACUGC